UUAGGUAGAGAAAAAGGCUGCACCUACCCUUGGAAGACAGGGGCCAAGAACUCAGACACAAAUGGACCUGGUAAAUGCCCUACAUUCUCUCUUCCAUGGAAACAUGGAAUUUGGGAAUGGGGGAAUCAAACCAGCUGUGGCAAGCAAUCCAGGGAGUCUGAGCAGACUGUGUUACUUAAAAUGAGAUCCCUGGGGGACCGGAAUAACCACACAUGGAAUGCUUAAUAAAAAUGGGGGUUCCUGGGCGCCAUCUGACCAUCAGAUCAAAUCUCACUGGUCUUCCCCUAAGAAUUUUACAUGCUCACCCCAGGGGACUUUAUGCCCACCAAAGUCAGAGAGAAGUUAUUGAGUUUUUUAUUAUGUUGUUUAAUCCAUGCCAGCCAAUAUUUUACUAAUUUAAGAAGCUCACAAGAGAUCUCCUGACACCUUCUGACUUGUUAAGAGAACGGAGCUUCCCCUCCUUGGGACUGAGGGCUCUGAGAGUUAAUAGCCUGAAUGUGGCUACAUUUUCCCUUUGUUCUGAGAAGAGCGCACCCCUGUUCCCACCUGGCCUCUGAGGAGUGAACAGGGAGGAGGCGGCCACAGAAGAACCCACCACGGCUCAAAACGUGCAGGCAUUCUCCAUGAGGAACAACUUUCCCCAGCGUGUAAGGAACACUGCCUUACAGGAAACCGUUCCUUCAAACAGGAAGAGAAGAGUGUUGAGUGGACCAAGGGGAGACCACCAUUUCUCCAGGCCACUUGCAUCCCAAGGCACAAAGGCAGCAGGUUUCCUAGGAGCUGUUUCCAGGGCCAGAACAAUUCCAGACUCCCCAAGAACUUAUUUCCACCUUGGGGGACCACAGUCAGCAGGGACAGGAGGAAAGCCUUCAAAGUCCUACCUUUUAGAAGAUUUUCAUUUUGGAGGAACAGGAUGGCAGACUGACCAGAUGUUCUUUAGGGUCAGCCCCUAAGGCCACCAGCCACCCAAGCCCGCCUCACCCCCUGCACAAACGUUGGCCUCGGUUGCUCUAAGAGCAGAACCUGGGCUGCUUGGGAUAAUUCCAAGCGCUGGGCUGUGAUAUCAGAAUAGGGCUAUGACAUCAAUGUGGGGGUAGGCCAGCCUGGGGAAGCAGGGCAGGGCAGAAAGGGAGUCCCUGAGGGGCUGGAUUAGCCCCCUUGAAAGUGAGGCCCAACAGAGAGAGGCAGCUGGUUCUGUAUACACUUCUCACAGCCUCCCAGCAGUCCCCUGGGAGGCGGACCUAAAGAUCUUCUGAAAAGGAUUCCCAAGUACAGAGAGAGGAAAGAAAUGAGGAAAAAGACAGCAAGCAACUUGCCCAAGGUCACACAGCUGAACUGACUGGAAGCAGGAAGAUAGUGAGGAGACUAUAGCAGAUGUCCAGAAGGCUAUCCAACCCCUUGGGAACAUGAGACACGUGCUGCAUCUCUAGCCCCUGACCAUGCCUAAGGGGACGAAAUGAAGGAAGACGAGCCUGAAGCUGCUCUCUCAGGGGAGCCAACCUCUCCUAGAAGUCCAGGCUAGCAAUCUCUAGCACUGCCCAGCUGAGUUAACAAGCAUUUCUACACCAGCUGCAAAAGAAACCCCUCCCACUGGCUGCCCCAGGGAAAUUGUUCCAGAAUGACCAAUCCAAUAAAAGUUACCUGAUACAUUAUUUUCAGGAAGUUCCUAGAAAAUGCAGCAAAUUUUUAUUUAUUUAUUUUAUUUAUUUUACUUAGGAGAAGCUAGAAAGAGGAAGCUAGUUCUUCCAUGAGCAGCAAUGUUCCCACACUUGGCCAACAGGGUUGUUCUGAGCCC
This is a non-coding RNA of Equus caballus (horse), 1795 nucleotides long. Lineage: Eukaryota; Metazoa; Chordata; Mammalia; Perissodactyla; Equidae. The record is from RefSeq and is a predicted model, not a curated record.